Oryza sativa Japonica Group (Japanese rice) is the source of this 2705-nucleotide non-coding RNA. The record is from RefSeq and is a predicted model, not a curated record. NCBI's taxonomy places the organism in Eukaryota, Viridiplantae, Streptophyta, Magnoliopsida, Poales, Poaceae.
UCCUCCUCUCGCCCUUGUCUCGUUUCGCGGAGGAACCGAGGAAACUCGCCUCGGGUUCGCCGGGAACGGAGGCGUCAACCUCGACGCCGGCGAGAGAAGCCGACGACGCAUUUGCUAACCUAUUGAUCCAUUUGGUGCAGCCGAUCGCCGAGAACGCGACCGCGUCAACUCGGUGUGUCGCCACGCCCUGAACGCCGCCGCAUCAUCUUCACAACGUCGCCCGCCAUCCACAGUCCACCAUCGGUCGAGCCGCCUCGCCAUCGUCUUCGCCAACGCCCAAGGACCAGGAUACCCGAAGGAAUCGAGCCACAUUGGAUCUCAGGAGGAGAAUGCCAUCUUCUUCCCCGAUUCCGGCCGCCGUCGCCAUUUCUCUCUCUCUCACUCUCUGGUGAGCUUCGGCGCAUCCUUUUUCACCUAAAGCUACUUCGUGCCAAUGUGAAUCGAUGCAUGCCCCUUUUCUUAGCAGAUCAAGGCCGGAGAACGCCGUCGACGACGACCGCUGCCGAAGCCGCUCUCCAUCGCCAAGACCUCGCCAAGCCAGAGCAGCCGCUCGGUGAGCACCCUAGAGACCCUUAAAGCCCCCUGCGACAACAUGCAAGUGUAGAUCGGGACUCUAAAGUGACAUGCAUGUGUAGGCCGAAGGCAUCCACCGCCUCUAACACCCUAACAGCCACUGUAGUGCAUCAUAGAUUGCAAGAAGGCCACCGAUAGAAUCGCAACGAUGUCCUCGACAUUUUUCUUUUUGGGAGCAAGGGCUGCUUUGCCGCCGUUCGCCGCCGGCGAAGCCGGGAAGCUCGCGGCCGAGCCGGUGCUCUGCUCUGUUUAGAGCAGGGGCUAGUUUUAGCAAGAGUUUAAAAAGUGCAAGGGUGUAUUAGCAAGAACGCAAACACUGACAUAUGGGACCAUGGAAUGAUUAGUAAAUAACAUAAAAUUGAAGGUUUCUUUUGAAAGAAAACAUACAACACUUGUUUGGACUGCGGGAUCUAUUUCCCGGAAUUCCAGAGUUCUUAGCGCAAAUUACCAGUCAAUGACAGGUGGGACCGAGGAAGAAAAUGAUUUGAAAAGAAAUAGGGGAAGUGAAAAACUGAUUUCAGUGCAACUAUAAAAUGCUGAAACUUUGGAAAUUCAUAGUUAAAUUCAUUCUAACUCCAAAAAUUGCAAACUAAAAUUUGUUAGAUUCACAUUUUCUUUCACAGCACUGUAAAAAUGUCAAACUUAACAGAAACAUGAAAGUUUAUACCAUUAAAAAUUCGAGACACAUAUAGGCUUUAAUUAAGCAGAACGACACUUCGAAAAUUCAUAACAUUCAAAUAAAAAUUGGUAAAAUGGAGAUUCUUUUACUAAAUGUCAAUUCAACACAGAACACAUUUCUAUACUAUAUCUAUAUCUAUACUAAUCUAAAAGGAGGAGUUCACCCCUAACAAUCAUACAUGCUAAAUCAUUCCAUCUCAUCUCAUCCGUCCAUCCGCCAUCUCAUCUAAUCAUUAGAUCUUUUUCUUUUCAUCCCACGGCUCCAAAUGAUCCUACGAUGAACUCACCUAAUCCCUGGUGAGCGGAAGCACUCCAUCGCACUAUCCCCACCACCGCGAAAUCUGCGCCGCGGUAAUCCCCGCCCUGGACGCUGAACGCGGAACGCCUCCUCGCAUGGGGCUGCACAGAAUCCUCCCGCCGGCCACCGCGCAAACACCACAGCUGCAUCGCCAACCACUAUUUCCUCCCCCAAAUCGUGUCCCUGGCUUCACACCGCGCCCACACAUUCCGCCAUCGCCAUUUCCUCCGUCCUAGGGCGAAGGAGAGCUCGCGACUCGCGGGAGGCGUCCUCCGCUCCACUACGCCCCGGUUGCCGCCACCUCCGCGUUACUAGGGGUGAGUAACUCACCGAAGUUCUCCCUAAGCAUUGGAGGGCCUGCAACCAACGUCGACGCCCUGUCCACAUGGCCACAACGCCGCAGCCAGACUGACCAAUCAAGCAUCCCCUGGGCCGUUGCCAUCGCAGGUCGAGCAGUCAUGCACCACCGCUGCCUCCGCGAGAAGAUCAGUAAUUGCUAAUUUUGUCUUGAAGCUUUUGGUGUGCUGGGACCCGUGAAUGACUAUAUUUUCUUUUAACAUUCUAAAGCAGGCUCAAGAGUGCUAUGAGAUCACUAUGGAGUAUUAAGGGAGUCAUGAGCUUGAUGAACUUGGUAAUAUGUUGACAAGCUGAGAGAAUGACGGCUCCACUGUGAUGGCCAAAGCUUUCUCCCCUGUGCUUAAUUUGGCUAACUUGGCUGAGGAGGUCCAGAUUGCAUACUGGAGGAGAAUAAAUCUCAAGAAAGGUGACUAUGCUGAUGAGAACUCCGCACCGACAGAAUCUUGAGAUUGAAGAAACAUUUAGGCCUUAUUCGUUUUGAAGGAUUCCUAAAGGAAAUCUCAAUUCCUUUGGAAUAAGCACUAUUCAUGCAUUCGGUUUGUAGGAUUCAAAAGAAAAUUUUCCAUAGGAACACUAUGCCAAUCCUCCAAAAAUCCUCCAAAAUGUACUAAUUCUAUAGGAAUGAAAACAUCCACUCUAUCCUCUUUUAUUUAGCUCAGUGUAGGAAAAAUUCCUGUGUUCCAAUCCUUUGUUUCGCACGUGCAUUCCUAUAUUAUUCCUACGUUUUUCCUAUUCCUGUGAUUUGAAAAUCCUGUGAACCGAAUAAGCCCUUAAGAGGUUUGCUGUUGACCUGAAGAAA